AUGGAGAUCUGGAAGAAGCAUUGAA
RNAcentral lists this non-coding RNA (25 nucleotides) under Cricetulus griseus (Chinese hamster). The record is from RNAcentral. Lineage: Eukaryota; Metazoa; Chordata; Mammalia; Rodentia; Cricetidae.